Physella acuta is the source of this 3845-nucleotide long non-coding RNA. RefSeq lists it as uncharacterized. The record is from RefSeq and is a predicted model, not a curated record. NCBI's taxonomy places the organism in Eukaryota, Metazoa, Mollusca, Gastropoda, Physidae.
CCCCCCCCCCCAGAAGAAGAUGUAUUUGACAAAACCUGUGUUGCUAUGGUAACAGAACUAGACAGAUCCCAGGUCUUGUUGACCUUGCAGUUUUUAGGACCUGGUCUGGGUUUUGAGUAGAUAAAAUUGUAAGACAUGUACAUUAGCUCUGUCAAUAAAAUUCCUUAGCUGCAUUUGUCAUUUUAUGACAUAUGUCACUGACAAUAUGCCAUCUGUAUUAGAAGAAAUAAUGCUGUCUUUAUCUGAAUAUUAUCUAAUCUGUAUGUUGUAUGUCACGCUGUCCUGACAUACAAUCUGCCCUGUUCUAAAAGCUUCAGCUAAAAUCAGCUCACUCAACAAAUUGUACGUCUUUGACAUAGAUGUCUCACAGUUUUCCUUGACAGAAUAUGUUCAACCUGUGACCUUACCUUUCUAGUAGAGUUCAGCUUCAAUCUGUGACCUUACCUUUUCAGUAGAGCAACUUCAGUUGUGACCUUACCUUUUCAGUAGAGUUGAACUUUAACCUGUGACCUUCCCUUUCCAGUAGAGUUGAACUUUAACCUGUGACCUUACCUUUCCAGUAGAGUUGAACUUUAACCUGUGACCUUACCUUUCUAGUAGAGUAGAACUUCAGUCUGUGACCUUACCUUUUCAGUAGAGUUGAACUUUAACCUGUGACCUUCCCUUCAGAGAAUGUGAAGAGUUCCGUGUUUAUUUUUUUUCUCCUGUCUGUGACAAACCAACCCAUCAGUUGGGCAGUGAACACCAGUGACACGACACAGCAGCUGUCGCCUGACCUUCGUCAGAUGACAGACAGCUUUUCAUCCCACUUGACACUGGCUGCUGUCAAACAGCAGUGCUAGCUGAACAGCCUGUUCCCCACCUACCAUAACACCUACUGUGAUGUCUGUUUUAGUUCAGCAGAUAAUGACAAAAAAAUAUGUUUUAUAAGAUACACUACAGAUAUGUGAAUCUCAUGUGGGGUAAACUCCUACACAUAAGGGUAUAUCUGUAUAUAUUUUAACUAUGAUAAAAUAAACCUAUUUAUAAUUAUAUAUAAAUAUAUGUAUACUACAAGAUUGGCUUGUGAUGCUCAGUGUUUUUAUUUUUUUUAGAUUAGCCUUGUAUGUGAAGUCCCACCCUCAAACGUAUUACUUGAGUAUGAGCUAAAUAACUGAUUAUAGUUAUUAACUUUAUUAACUUUGAAUUUUUUUAGAGUGAUAAUUCUAGUUGGCAUUGUUAACUAGAUUCAUUAAUUAAUUGUUAAGUAGUUCAUGUAAUUAGAUUUAAUUGUAACUAACAAAUUUGGUGAUGUAAACUAGAUUACAAUUCUGAUAGUCUAGUGUUGAUUAAGAAAUAAGAAAAAAAAACUUUUAAUUACGCUAGCUUCUAUUGAAAUGUUAAUUAACAUUUUCAACACAAGAAUGGAUAUUUUGACAAUUAGAUGAAAGAAACAUGCAUUUUGCUUACUUUCAGUGACUUAAUAAAAUGUUGUUGUUAGAUAGUUUAAAUAAAAUCAAAUUAACCAGUCCAUCACUGGCUACUAUAUAUUUUUGUCUAUUGGAAUGUUUCCGUAAAAAUCCAUUCAUUUUAUUUGCUUAUUUGGCUCUUCUUUAGAUAACCCCCUGUGUAGGACUUAAAAGAACAGUGAGUUAAAAUUCUAGAAAUAUCUUCUCAGUUGAACAUUUGUUCUCCAGGUUCUCCUUAAGGUUCUCCUUAUGGAAUUUUUCAAAGAUAUUUGAUGGAAACACAUCAACAUUUUCACUCAUCCUCUGUCCACACCACACAUUUUUCUCAGAUAUUUGAUGGAAACACAUCAACAUUUUCACUCAUUCACACCUUACUGGUUCUUUUUGCAAAAUAUAUUUUUAGUUGAUUUUACCAUGACAGAAAGUAUGUUUAUAAACUUUAAACUUUGUAUAUUGCGCUAAUAUAGAGAAUAAGCUUGUAAAUGUUUAUAAAUUGUUUUAACCUUGUAAAUGAUCCUAUACAAUGAAGUAUAUGUGAGAUUUCUAUAUCAGCACAUACUAUUUUAGUUGUUUUAAUUAUACAGUAUAAAAUGUUGAUGAGAAUUUAUUUGCGUUGUAUUUUAUACCCAUGAGGUUUUUGUCUGAUUUAUUUCAUUGGCACAUGUUAAUUGUAUGUGUAUGACGUGGCUUGAUUGUCCAGACUUUUGUGAAACCAUAUUUUACAUUCCCGCAAAGAAAUGCCAAGAACAAACUGUGAAAUUAUUUUAUUUUCUAAUGCAAUUUUGUAUUGUGUUACUGGUAUUAAAUAAUAUUAAAAGUAAGAUUCUGAUAAAAUAUUUUAUUAAAUAUAACAAGAUCAUUUUUAUUUAUUCCUAUUUUAGUUUCUGUGUAACGAUGUCAAGUUGUUUUGAUAGAAUUAUUUUCAUAAGAAUGUAUUAAAAUAUGUUUAUAAAGCAGACAGAAAAUAUUGAAUGGGUGUCUACUAGACUUGUAGAUCUAUAAUAAAUUUUUAAAUGACAAACUGGCAACUUUACUUUCAUUAGAUUUGACAAAGCCAAUUUUUAUCUGGCAGAAAGAUAAAUGUUUCUUUAUCAUGAAGCUGCAGUUUCUGUAUGUAAAUUUGAAGAUUAAUUACAGGGUUUUUAUUUGUAAUGUGUUUUCUUUCAGUUAUUUGUAUUAGGAUUUAAAUGAUGUCGAUCACAGUUCAUUUUUUUAUUCAAACAAAUUCUCCUUGGGUUGGUCACUUGAACAUUACAUUUCCUAUUGUUUACAAUAAGUUCACCCUUAUCAGCUGGGUAAUAAUUAUGUGUACCUAAAAAAAACAGAGAAAGCUUUGAAUUAAUGUAAAGUUAUAAGACACAAUCUUGUUUGAAUUCAGGUUACAGAUCUACAUUAAUUGCCGAAUUCUAGUUAACAUUGAGACAACAAAAAAAAUAAUCUAAAAUUUGAUGAAAUUGUUUUUUCUUUGACAUAACAUUCCACACUAAAUUUAAAAACCACUGAAGCUGAAACCAAAAAAAAAAGUUAAAUAUUUUAUGACAUUUAAAAAUGUUUAGACACUGAAUUUGUGUUUAAUUUAACCACUCAUAAAUAUCAACUAAUGGAACACCUUUUACGUACUUUUAAUUAAUUUUUCUAAUUAAUUUUUUUUGUUUAAUCUAGAUUUAUAAAAUGAGAUUUAUGAGUUCAGAGAGUUGAUCUUUGCUGUUAUGUGAAAAAAUUUGGUAUGUGGUAGGUGUCUGUGCAUGUCUUCCCUCUUAUUUAGGACUUUAUCCAUGUUUAUUUUUAACUUUCUAUUUUUAGCUAGCUUAAGUGCUCAUCUGUUUUCUAUAUUGGACAAUAUUUUUUUUUACUUAAAAACUUUGUGUAAACUUUUAAAAUCUUGUGUUGAUCAUACAUGGCAUUUUUCUUUUUAAAUUUUAGAUCAAUGUAUUUUGGUCAAACUUUGAAAUUUAUUUUUAAAGCAUAAUAAUUGAAUAUUUUGUUUUUGAUUGAUUUCAAUUUGUUCAUUUAUCAAAUGCAUGGGUUUACUUUGUAUAGAAUUUUUUUUUUUUUUUGACAUUCAAAGUGCUGAUGAGAAAAACUUAUCUUUUGAUAUUUGCCAAAAGCAGUCACAUGACAUUGUGGUCACAUGACAUUGUUUAUGUUUGUUUUUAGCAAAUCCUACAUUGGGAAGCUGGAUUUUGUUUUUUUUACAUUUGGUACUAUCAGGUUUAACAUCCACCCAGCCAUGUGCUAAGAGGUUUAACCAGCACCUAGCCAUGUGGCAAGUUUAACAUCCACCCAGCCAUGCGCUAAGAGGUUUAACACACACCUGGACCUGAGUUUUGGGUUAACUGUAGCCAGCUAUUGGCAUGGACUACACUAAAAUAUUUUCAAUAAAGUAUUUCUUCUACA